Molecule: signal recognition particle RNA, 312 nt
Filed under: Methanoregulaceae archaeon
Lineage: Archaea; Methanobacteriati; Methanobacteriota; Methanomicrobia; Methanomicrobiales; Methanoregulaceae
Description: signal recognition particle sRNA
Rfam family: Archaeal signal recognition particle RNA
Source: RNAcentral
AUGGGGACUAGUCCGGGUGGUUCGGCGUCACCUGUCACCUGAAACCGUCGGUAUGCAGGGGGCGAAGUUUGAGGAAGGCCGAGGCGGGCUUCGGGAGCCGGGAGUCUCCUGACGUUGAAACCUCGUCCCAUGAGGUCGGUGGACAGGGUUCAAUGCUCCGGAGGGAGCGGCGACCUGCUACUGCGGGGAACGGUUCAGGCCCGGAAGGGAGCAGACUUACCGUAGACAUUCGGCGCCCAUGGGGUUGCGGGGCGGAGGAGGGGGUCUCCGGUGAACGCUGACACGUGCGGUCGACCAAGAACGUGUCCCCAC